RNAcentral lists this transfer RNA (76 nucleotides) under bacterium. RNAcentral's name for it is "tRNA-Val". It matches the Rfam family "tRNA". From Rfam's summary of the family: Transfer RNA (tRNA) molecules are approximately 80 nucleotides in length. The record is from RNAcentral.
GGGCGAUUAGCUCAGUUGGUAGAGCACCGGCCUUACAAGCCGUAGGUCACUAGUUCGAGCCUAGUAUCGCCCACCA